CGCCUCCCUCCGCCGCCACUACAACGACUACCGUACGGACGGGACGACGACGAAGGUAAAGGUAAAGUUAAGUUUAGGUUACGUAAGUAGGACGGACGAACGUACUACGAACCAACGACCANGCCGCGUGAAGGAUAGAAGGUCCUCUGGAUUGUUAACUUCUUUAUUCUGGAAGAAACCAUAGUUCUACUGUGGUUGACGGUACCAGACGAAUAAGCACCGGCUAACUCCGUGCCAGCAGCCGCGGUAAUAC
RNAcentral lists this ribosomal RNA (253 nucleotides) under uncultured bacterium. Its description in RNAcentral is "partial 16S ribosomal RNA". The stretch from base 128 to 253 matches the Rfam family "Bacterial small subunit ribosomal RNA", at positions 401 to 526 of the family's 1533-position model. The record is from RNAcentral.